RNAcentral lists this ribosomal RNA (465 nucleotides) under uncultured bacterium. RNAcentral describes it as "bacterial SSU rRNA". It matches the Rfam family "Bacterial small subunit ribosomal RNA", at positions 331 to 793 of the family's 1533-position model. The record is from RNAcentral.
CCAGACUCCUACGGGAGGCAGCAGUGAGGAAUAUUGGUCAAUGGGCGGAAGCCUGAACCAGCCAAGUCGCGUGAGGGAAUAAGGCCCUACGGGUCGUAAACCUCUUUUGCCGGGGAGCAAGGGCGGGGACGUGUCCCGGCCCGGAGAGUACCCGGAGAAAAAGCAUCGGCUAACUCCGUGCCAGCAGCCGCGGUAAUACGGAGGAUGCGAGCGUUAUCCGGAUUUAUCGGGUUUAAAGGGUGCGUAGGCGGAUCGUUAAGUCAGGGGUAAAAUGGGGGGCCUCACCCCCUCCCCGCCAUUGAAACUGGCGAUCUUGAGUGGAAGAGAAGUAUGCGGAAUGCGUGGUGUAGCGGUGAAAUGCAUAGAUAUCACGCAGAACCCCGAUUGCGAAGGCAGCAUGCCGGCUUCCGACUGACGCUGAAGCACGAAAGCGUGGGGAUCGAACAGGAUUAGAUACCCGGGUAC